RNAcentral lists this ribosomal RNA (493 nucleotides) under uncultured bacterium. Its description in RNAcentral is "partial 16S ribosomal RNA". It matches the Rfam family "Bacterial small subunit ribosomal RNA", at positions 30 to 523 of the family's 1533-position model. The record is from RNAcentral.
AUUGAACGCUGGCGGCAUGCUUUACACAUGCAAGUCGAACGGUAACAGGUUAAGCUGACGAGUGGCGAACGGGUGAGUAAUGCAUCGGAACGUGCCCGGUCGUGGGGGAUAACACUUCGAAAGAAGUGCUAAUACCGCAUACGAUCUGAGGAUGAAAGCGGGGGACCGUAAGGCCUCGCGCGAUCGGAGCGGCCGAUGUCAGAUUAGGUAGUUGGUGGGGUAAAGGCCCACCAAGCCGACGAUCUGUAGCUGGUCUGAGAGGACGACCAGCCACACUGGGACGGAGACACGGCCCAGACUCCUACGGGAGGCAGCAGUGGGGAAUUUUGGAUAAUGGGCGCAAGCCUGAUCCAGCAAUGCCGCGUGCAGGAAGAAGGCCUUCGGGUUGUAAACUGCUUUUGUACGGAGCGAAAAGGCUCUCUCUAAUACAGGGGGCUGAUGACGGUACCGUAAGAAUAAGCACCGGCUAACUACGUGCCAGCAGCCGCAGUAA